This is a small nucleolar RNA of Pantherophis guttatus, 73 nucleotides long. RefSeq annotates it as small nucleolar RNA SNORD30. The record is from RefSeq and is a predicted model, not a curated record. Lineage: Eukaryota; Metazoa; Chordata; Lepidosauria; Squamata; Colubridae.
UGAUAUGAUGAGCUCAACACUUGGAAUCUCGUUCGGCUGAAUCUCCGCUGUUGAGAAUCGGAAUCUGAGCAUC